This 325-nucleotide ribosomal RNA is filed under the name uncultured eukaryote. RNAcentral's name for it is "partial 18S ribosomal RNA". It matches the Rfam family "Eukaryotic small subunit ribosomal RNA", at positions 1469 to 1796 of the family's 1831-position model. The record is from RNAcentral.
ACCCUUAGAUGUCCUGGGCUGCACGCGCGCUACACUGAUGUGUCCAGUAAGCACCUAACCUCUUCCGAAAGGAACGGGUAACCUUUGCAAAGCACAUCGUGAUGGGGAUAGAUUAUUGCAAUUAUUAGUCUUGAACGAGGAAUUCCUAGUAAGCACAAGUCAUCAGCUUGUGUUGAUUACGUCCCUGCCCUUUGUACACACCGCCCGUCGCUCCUACCGAUUGAAUGUUCCGGUGAGCACUUCGGACUGCGCGGUCUGCAGUUUCUGCGUUCCGUGCGGAAAGUUGCGCAAACCUUAACAUUUAGAGGAAGGAGAAGUCGUAACA